UAGAAGUACAGUUGCAUCUUUUCUAAUCCGGAUGUAAAACAGUGAUCUUGGCUAUAUUGUUACUGCCUCCUUUAUAUAAGUCCACAAUUUUUCCUUAAUUUUGCUGCAUCUCAACAGAUGCAAGUCAGUUUUGUUAGACUUGCUUUUCGCCUUGUAUACACACUGAGUGUAUAAUGCGUACAGCCACACUUAGUAAGAGGUAUAAUUCUGCCAACCUGAGCUGCUGCGUAGAAUACUUCCUAAGUUUUUUAUUGUGAGUGUUUCUCAGAAUAGCAUUGAAAAUAGUACUUUCAGGAAAAUAUAAGUGAAAAUAUAUUUGACCUCAAAAUGAGGAAAUCUUUUCUAAGCAUAUGACUAAAAGCAAAAAAAUUGGUGAUUUAAAUUGCAAUUUAUAUGUGUGAAAGACACAAGAUGAAAAGUAGAUGACAAAGUGGAAAAAUAUUUGUAAUGAGUA
This 454-nucleotide long non-coding RNA is filed under the name Bos taurus (domestic cattle). RNAcentral describes it as "long non-coding RNA NONBTAT017767". Lineage: Eukaryota; Metazoa; Chordata; Mammalia; Artiodactyla; Bovidae. The record is from RNAcentral.